AAGUCGUAACAAGGUUUCCGUAGGUGAACCUGCGGAAGGAUCAUUACAGAGUUCAUGCCCUCACGGGUAGCUCUCCCACCCUUGAAUAUUAUACCUUUGUUGCUUUGGCGGGCCGCUUCGGCUACCGGCUUCGGCUGGUGAGUGCCUGCCAGAGGACCCAAAACUCUGAAUUAUAGUGUCGUCUGAGUACUAUAUAAUAGUUAAAACUUUCAACAACGGAUCUCUUGGUUCUGGCAUCGAUGAAGAACGCAGCGAAAUGCGAUAAGUAAUGUGAAUUGCAGAAUUCAGUGAAUCAUCGAAUCUUUGAACGCACAUUGCGCCCCUUGGCAUUCCGAGGGGCAUGCCUGUUCGAGCGUCAUUAUAACCCCUCAAGCUCAGCUUGGCGUUGGGGCCUGCCGCAGCGGCAGCCCUUAAAACCAGUGGCGGCGCCAUCUGGGCUCUAAGCGUAGUAAUUCUUCUCGCUAUAGAGUCCUGGUGGAUGCUUGCCAUCAACCCCCAAUUUUCUAUGGUUGACCUCGGAUCAGGUAGGGAUACCCGCUGAACUUAAGCAUAUCAAUAAGCGGAGGAAAAGAAACCAACAGGGAUUGCCUCAGUAACGGCGAGUGAAGCGGCAACAGCUCAAAUUUGAAAUCUGGCUCUUUCAGGGUCCGAGUUGUAAUUUGUAGAAGAUGCUUCGGGUGUGGCUCUGGUCUAAGUUCCUUGGAACAGGACGUCAUAGAGGGUGAGAAUCCCGUAUGUGACUGGGUGCCUUCGCUCAUGUGAAGCUCUUUCGACGAGUCGAGUUGUUUGGGAAUGCAGCUCAAAAUGGGUGGUAAAUUUCAUCUAAAGCUAAAUAUUGGCCAGAGACCGAUAGCGCACAAGUAGAGUGAUCGAAAGAUGAAAAGCACUUUGGAAAGAGAGUUAAACAGUACGUGAAAUUGUUGAAAGGGAUGCGCUUGCAACCAGACUUGCACGCGGUUGAUCAUCCGGUGUUCUCACCGGUGCACUCUGCCGUGUUCAGGCCAGCAUCGGUUUCGGUGGUUGGAUAAAGGCCUAGGGAAUGUAGCUUCUUUCGGGGAGUGUUAUAGCCCUAGGUGCAAUGCAGCCUACCGGGACUGAGGACCGCGCUUCGGCUAGGAUGCUGGCGUAAUGGUUGUAAGCGACCCGUCUUGAAACACGGACC
Molecule: ribosomal RNA, 1162 nt
Filed under: uncultured fungus
Lineage: Eukaryota; Fungi
Description: eukaryotic LSU rRNA
Rfam family: Eukaryotic large subunit ribosomal RNA (bases 511-1162)
Source: RNAcentral